This 207-nucleotide ribosomal RNA is filed under the name uncultured bacterium. RNAcentral describes it as "partial 16S ribosomal RNA". It matches the Rfam family "Bacterial small subunit ribosomal RNA", at positions 568 to 774 of the family's 1533-position model. The record is from RNAcentral.
CGUGUAGGUGGCCUUAUAGGUCAGAUGUGAAAUCCCCAGGCUUAACCUGGGAAUUGCGUUUGAAACCAUAGGGCUUGAGGCUGGGAGAGGAAAGCGGAAUUCCUGGUGUAGCGGUGAAAUGCGUAGAUAUCAGGAGGAACACCAGUGGCGAAGGCGGCUUUCUGGACCAGUCCUGACACUGAUCCGCGAAAGCGUGGGGAGCGAACG